Molecule: long non-coding RNA, 6383 nt
Filed under: Homo sapiens (human)
Lineage: Eukaryota; Metazoa; Chordata; Mammalia; Primates; Hominidae
Description: non-protein coding lnc-RFC3-7:2
Source: RNAcentral
GCCCUCCCACCAAGACGAGGCGCGCGCACCAGCAACCAGGGCCCGCUGGCGCCGCCCCGGGUUUCCGCUCCGGGGCUCGUCGGUCGCCGUUCGGUUCCGGUUCUGGCCCCGCCCUCACGCGGGAACCCUCCAGAAGUCUUAAUAUCCGGGACCAGAGGCUGGUUGCAGCGCACAUUUCCGGCAACGAGCGCAAAGGAAGGGAUCCGGUGACGCCUCUUCCCGUCUCCCCAGCGGCCCAGGCUCUGGCUCUCGGUGCGGCAGCGCCAUCUGGUGCCGAGUCUCCCGCCACCCGCGGAGGUGGCACGCGCCCUUCUCUCGGAACCUUCCAGAGAAACCGUGGCCCCUGCUUUCCUUUCUCCCGCCCUGGACGGGGAGGGACCCGAGUCUCCGCCCCGCCGAGUUCCCGCGCGGGAGGGACUUUGUGGCGACUCUGAAGCGGAAGCUGCCUGUAGGAGGAGCUUUACAAACCCAAAAUGGAGCGGAAACUGUUCUUUCUCUAGUUUUAAGUCCAGAAGAAACGGCGUCCUUUUAUUUUUUGCUUCCUUAUGCGUUGUUGCUGGGUCAUUCUCAGUCUUCCCCGUAUCAGUUCUUUAAUCUUUGAGGACUGGGACCCUGUAUUAAUUGCCUGGUAGGAAGAUGACACGAGCUUUGUGGCUUACAUUGGCCUCUGCUGUAAAAGCUUUUGUUUCCUUUGGCCUAUUAAAGCGCUGUUGUAAAAGCCUGCUGUGUAUGUUAGGAACCCAUCGAGAAGCAGAAUGUAGUAAUUUGCUUUAAAAUAGGCCAUGGAAGUUUCAGAAAGGUAGCCUCAGAAAUGCUCAAUGUAGAUUCGUUUGCAUGUCACGUUUCUUUUAGAUAAUCAGAGAAAGGAAAAGUAAUUUCCCCAAAGUUAGUAAAAUCAACACAUUUUCCUUUAAUAAUGUUCUUUUUUUCCUGUAAUCUUGGAGUACUAACAGAGUUGUUCUAAAUGUUUUAUUGGAAUGGUGCUGUGGAUAUCAAAAUAUAUAAUGAAACAAAUUUCCUUUAGAGUUUAGAUAGCACAUGUUAACUUGACUCUUUGAUUGUAUUUCUCCUAUAGUAAUGCUUCUCAAACUGGAGCAUGCAUCCAGAUUCUCUAGAAGGCUUGUUAAAACAGAUUGCUGGGCCUCAACACCAGAGGUUAUAACUGGGAGGGAAGGUCUGAGGAUACAGCUGGAUUAGUGUAGCUCUAGUAAAAUCUCAGGUGAUUCUGAUGCUGUUGGUACUAGGACCACACCUGGAAUAAUUUAGAGUUCAGGAUUGCUUUGUCAAUAAUGCUUUUUGCUGUUGCAGGACAGACGGUACUAAAAUAUACUGGUGAUACUAAGCCUGCACAAGUUAGUAGUCCUUUUGACUCCGUGGAUGGGAAGUAGUAAACUAAACCCUAGAACCAGUAGAGAGCUACAUAAAUGUUCACAGAUUAAAGCAACCAGUUCAUAGAAAUGUAUUCUGUAUAUGAUCAUGUGAUAGAGGGUGCUGUAAUACCAAGUAUACUAAAUAUUUCAGUUAUUAUACAGUAAUUGUUCUUUAGCUGUUAAAUUAGAAAUGACUAAAAUUAAGGACAAAAUAGUUUAAACAAUCAUACUAAUUUUACCCUUUGGAAGAUGCCAGGUUUUUUUCAGUCUUUUGCAUUUCCUCAAGUUCCCUUGUUUUACGGAAUUCUCUACCCCCAGCCCACUCCCAUCCCUACCGUGCCAUUUAUAAAUGUACACAGUGCUUACAUUAUAAAAAAUGAUCAUCUCAGAACUUGUCUCAUCUUUUCAGCAGGACUUUUCUCAAUUCUGUCAAAUUCUGACUGUGCCACUGCCUUUAUUGACACAGUAAUUAAAUCACGCAGUGAUUAAAGUGUGCUGCACACUGUAACUUUUGUGCUUGCUACAAAUAGAAAUACAGAUAUUGUUAGAUAAGUUUAUGUUUAUGAUAAUCAGUUCCUAAAAUGUAGAAAGCAGUCGGUUUUCUGGUCUCAGUUUUAUUUAAAUCACUGCUAUUUUGUUUACUGGAUGUAAGCUUCCCCCUCUCUGCUCUAGCCUGAAUGGGCCUUCGUGAAAAGAAGAAAAAAAAGAUUGAGAACAACUGUCUUAAAACCAUGGUAUUUCCCUAAUAGGCUAGUACCAUGUAUUUGGAUAAUUACUGAUGAAUCAUUUAAAUCAGGGAAAGGUGCAUGGUUUUGUUUUUUUGUUGUUUUUUCUCUUUUUUUUUUUUUUUUUUUUUGAGAUGGAGGCUUGCUCUGUCGCCCAGGCUGGAGUGCAGUGGCCAGAUUUCAGCUCACUGCAAUCUCUGCCUCCCGGGUUCAAGCGAUUCUCCUGCCUCAACCUCCUGAGUAGCUGGGACUACAGGCGUGUGCCACCACACCUGGCUAAUUUUUUUGUUUUAUUUAUUUAUUUAUUUAUUUGAGACGGGGUUUUGCUCUUGUUGCCCAGGCUGGGGUGCAAUGGUGCGAUCUCAGCUCAUCACAACCUCUGCUCCCAGGUUCAAGUGAGUCUUCUGCCUCAGCCUUCCUGAGUAGCUGGGAUUACAGGCAUGUGCCACCAUGCCUGGCUAAAAUUUUGUAUUUUCCUUAGUAGAGAUCAGUUUUCUCCAUGUUGGUCAGGCUGGUCUCGAAUUCCUGACCUCAGGUGAUCCACCCGCCUUGGCCUCUCAAAGUGCUGGGAUUACAGGUGUGAGCCACCGCGCCUGGCCUAAUUUUUUGUAUUUUUAGUAGAGACGGGGUUUCACCGUGUUAGCCAGGAUGAUCUCGAUCUCCUGACCUCGUGAUCCGCCUGCCUCGGCUUCCCAAAGUGCUGGGAUUACAGGCGUGAGCCACUGUGCCUGGCCCGAAAGGUGAAUGUUCUUUGCCUUAUUUUAAACUUUAUUGUAAUAAAUUCACUAAUGAAGCAGGCAGAGAAGAUGUAAAGGACACUUCAUUAGUAAUGCUAUAUUUCAUAUACCUGCUGUAUUUUGGGAGCAUUAUUGCUAUCAUUUGGUUUGUUGGAUCCCUCCAAAUCUCACGUUGAAAUUUGAUCCCCAGUGUUGGAGGUGGGGCUUAAUGGGAGAUGUUUUCAGACAUGGGGGUGGAUCCCUGACACAGGGCUUGAUGCCCUCCUAGUGAUAAUGAGUGAGUUUUCUAUUAGUUGCUGUCAGAGCUGGUUGUUAAGAGCCUGGCACCUCCCUCCUAUCGAUUUUCUUGCUGCUUUGUCUUGCUUCCUCGCUUACCAUGUGAUCUCUGCACAUGCUGGUUCUCCUUCACCUUCACCCACAAGUGGAAACAGCCUGAGGCCCUCACCAGAAAUAGCUGCUGGUACCAUGCUUCUUGUACAGCCUACAGAACUGUGAGCCAAGUAAACCUCUUUUCUUCAUAAAUUACCCAGCCUCAGGUAUUCCUUUAUAGAAAAAUAAAUGGACUAAGACAGUUGUUAAAUAACCUUAUUUUGUUGACUAAAAGUAAUUAGUAUUUUAUGACAUUUAUUUAUUAUGGCUGUUAACAUUACAAUUUAUCCUGGCUAAUUUCAUCAGUAAACACUCUUAUGAAAUGAUACUGUAGUUUACUUUCAACCAAGAAUUGGUUGACUUUGAUACAGUAAUUAGAUUAGGAUUCCCACGUCAGAUUUUCUUUCAAAAAUAAUUCCUAUUAUUAUGUGGAAGCCUCCUUUUCUGAUUUUUUUCUCUUAUUUUCUAAGAACAUAAUAUGUAAAUGGAUGUAUAAUGAAUAUUUGUGGCAAAAAGCAUUUGUCUAAGAAGAAUUAAGUUGAUUCAGCUGUUAAAGGGGUCUUAGUUGUUAGAGCUUUUUGGCGGUUUAUUUGCUAUAAUCAAUAGACUUAUUAAUACUUUUAAUUUUAGCCUAAUAGUACUAAUAGUCACAUUUUGACUAACUAUUGGGCCAGUUUUUCUUUGUCAUUCAUUGGUAGUUGAGUCUCUGUAGCCUUUAUACUGCCCUAUUUUUGGUUUGCCACAUUUUAAAUCUCAAACUGCCUAUAAUUUAUACUGUUAGUCUUUGGAAAUAAGUUUGAAUUGACUAUUCUGCUAAACUCAUUUUAAUGACCAUGCUCCCUUGUGAUGAGCUAAAUUUAUUUAUUAUUGUGUUGUCGUAUUAAUUUUUUUUUUUUUGAGACAGUCUCACUCUGUCGCCCAGGCUGCAGUGCGGUGGCUCAGUCUCCACUUACUGCAACCUCCACCUCCCGGGCUCAAGUGAUUCUCCUGCCUCAGCUUCCUGAGUAGCUGGGAUUACAGGCAAGAUUAAUGUUUUUUAUUUGUAAUCAAUUUAAGCCUAAUACAUGUUCUAAUAAUUUUUGUAUUUCAUAUAUGGAUAAAUUAUAAUAAUUCUUUUAAAGUGAAAGUAUUGAUGAGAGAUACUUUUUUUUGGAAUAGCUCAUUUUAAGCCCCUGAUACUUGAUAUGGAUAAAAUAUUUUCAGUGUUUAAUAAAAUGUUGAAAUAUAUUUAACUUUACUAAUUUGAGCCCUGCCAAUUAUAAUACUUUAGAAAAAGUGAAAAUAUAAUAGUACAUUUAUAAGGCUUUUAAGUAUUCACAAAAUAGUCAUUUCCCAGUAGAUGUUUUUCAGCUCUUAUGAUACAGUGUUUUCUUUUUCUUUUGGCCAUGUAUUGAUCAGAAUUAGUCAUUAACUUUACUAACAACUGGAUUUAGUUUGUCAGCCUUGAUGGUUUGGUUACACAGAUGUAGCUAUUGUGUCAACCCCACUGUUUUAAAUAUGUUCCUAUGCCAGGUGAAAUUUGAUCCCUUUAAGCAAAUUUCUGUUAAACACUUUGUGUCAGUUUCAGUAACGUUUCCCCAAUGAACAUUCCUACUGUACAAAAUUUUACAUAUGUGUAUUUACAUAUUUAUACUUUUUUCACAAAUGUGGGAAUUUAGGAUACUAUGUUUGUAAAAAUUGGGCAAUUUUUCUUGAAGAUAAUUUUUAAAAUUACAGCAAAACAUAGGGCCCUGAGAAGAAGAGGUAAAAUAUAUGGAAGAGCAAGUAUGUAUAGAUAAUUUUGUAACGUAACCUUGAGAGAAAUAUAGAAAACUGAGACAACAUAAGCCAAAGGAAAGGAAUUGGGAUGUAAAACCUUUAGGGUAGAGCAGUGCUCUGCUGUGGUCAUUUAUGCCUUGGCAUUAAGUUCUUUUGAAUAUAAAACAAUGCAUUUAGAAGGAUUUUAAGACUAUAUCACAGUGCACUGGCAUUUUCUUCUUCAAUUUUCCAGGGCUAAAUAAGGUAAUUGAAUAAUAAAACUUAAAAGCAUUUUUCAUUUCAUGAAGAUCCAAGAAAAAAUAUUUCAUAACAAUUUUUAUUUACAAGAAGGAAAAACAUAUUCAUAAGAAUCUUAGAUGAUUAGUAGGUUAAUGAAAUAAAAAGUUUGUUAGGAAGAAGGAAUACUAGUUAUUGAACAAUGCCAAUUUUUUCUAUUUAAAAAUAUUUAAAAUGCCAUUAGUUGAUUUAUUUAAUGAGCCAUCAGCCUUUAUUUUAGAUUCACUAUAACUCUGAUCUCCUAAACCUGCUUUUCCUAUCAGGUCUUAAAUAUUUCAUCCCUGCUUUCUUUUACAAUAUAGUUUUUGGGAAUGUAACUAUCAUGUUGAUAAGUAAUGCUAGGUGAAGGAAAAAGUUAAAACAACUCCAAUGCUAGGCAGUGAUAUACCAUAGAAAAAUAAAUGAGCCAAAGAUAGGGGAAGUGAUUUUUUUUGGAGGAAGAAAACAGAAAUGAGAACAAGAGGACAUGGAUGACUGCUGAAAAACUGACCAAGUUCCUCUUCAGUCUUCUAACAGAAUUUGGAAGAUGUUCUUAGCAUGCAACUGUUGGUUGAAAAAAACCCAAAUGUACAAGGGCCAUCAGUUCUUAAAAGUGGAAUAGUGCAUAGAAAGCUUAUUGACACAACAUAGCAGUUUGAUGAAAUGGACUGAAGCCAUUUCUGUGGAGUGGACUCGUGGAAAAUGUGAUGCCUGAUUCAUAAAAUUGUACACAGUUGAAUGUUGCUAUAUAGGUAAGGUUUUGCAAACUCAGGACUCUCAGGAAACAUCAAAGGUAUAUAGUUGGCACACUUAAUUUUAGAUAUGUGUGAUACGUUUGUGAUUUUUUUUAAAAAAAUAUUUCCAGGAAUGCUUAAGAAGAUUAUACCACCUCAUGCUAUAAAAUAAAACUAACUUGGAGAAUUCAACAAUGUUUGCUGUUUUAAUAUGCAUCUUACAAAGAUAAUUAUAAACACUGAGAGUAUUUACUGCAAUGCCCUGAAUAUAGUAUGCCUAAAGAAUUUUCUGUAUAAAAAUAAUUGUAUUUAUUUUAGUUAAAAAUUGAGUAAAAUAUACAUGCAUCAAAAUAAUUUCUAGGUAGACCAAAGUGAUAUAUGUAAAGAAAGACAAAAUCAAAAAUCAGGAAAUUGCUGGUGAAUAUCUAAUCUCGG